UACGAAGGUCCCGAGCGUUGUUCGGAAUCACUGGGCGUAAAGGGAGCGUAGGCGGUCUGGUAAGUCAGAUGUGAAAUCCCGGGGCUCAACCCCGGAACUACAUCCGAUACUGCCAUGACUUGAGUGAUGGAGGGGUAGCUGGAAUUCUCGGUGUAGCAGUGAAAUGCGUGGAUAUCGAGAGGAACACUCGUGGCGAAGGCGAGCUACUGGACAUUUACUGACGCUGAGGCUCGAAGGCCGGGGUAGCGAAAGGG
Molecule: unclassified non-coding RNA, 254 nt
Filed under: uncultured Verrucomicrobiota bacterium
Lineage: Bacteria; Pseudomonadati; Verrucomicrobiota
Description: uncultured Verrucomicrobia bacterium contains 16S-23S intergenic spacer region
Rfam family: Bacterial small subunit ribosomal RNA
Source: RNAcentral